UCCGGGCGGACGCCGAGUCCUGCCGCCGCCCGGAUGACCGGUCGACAGGAGUGGAUCGGCAGGAGUGGAGGACCCGAGCAAGACGGGUCGCCGGUACGGACGUUCGUUCGAACCGAGCAACCCUUGGGGUGAAGCCGCGACAGAGCGGCCGGGCAACUUCGCCAGCCCGAAUCCGACAGGUCAUCCUUCACAGGCGGCUGACGAAGGGUUG
RNAcentral lists this small RNA (211 nucleotides) under Streptomyces sp. Its description in RNAcentral is "c-di-AMP sequence". It matches the Rfam family "c-di-AMP riboswitch aptamer (ydaO/yuaA leader)". Rfam says of the family: This family represents a conserved RNA structure found upstream of the ydaO and yuaA genes in Bacillus subtilis and related genes in other bacteria. The ydaO/yuaA element is thought to act as a genetic "off" switch for the ydaO and yuaA genes in its native state. Lineage: Bacteria; Bacillati; Actinomycetota; Actinomycetes; Kitasatosporales; Streptomycetaceae. The record is from RNAcentral.